AUCUUUAUAGUUUAUAAUGAAAAUAUUACACUGAAAAUGUAAAGAAAUUAUUUAAAGAUA
RNAcentral lists this transfer RNA (60 nucleotides) under Haemaphysalis danieli. Its description in RNAcentral is "tRNA-Phe". The record is from RNAcentral. Lineage: Eukaryota; Metazoa; Arthropoda; Arachnida; Ixodida; Ixodidae.